Molecule: non-coding RNA, 1833 nt
Organism: Pelobates cultripes (western spadefoot toad)
Lineage: Eukaryota; Metazoa; Chordata; Amphibia; Anura; Pelobatidae
Source: the annotation of a GenBank genome assembly
CUCUGGGGUCUUUCAAAAAAUGUGUGUGUAUAUGUAAUGAUAGAUCAUGUGACAAUAAAAUUGCACACAGGUGGACAUCAUUUAACUAAUUAUGUGACUUCUGAAAAUAAUUGGUUGCACCAGAGCUUUUUAUGGGCUUCAUAACAAAGGGGGUGAAUACAUACACACAUGCCAAUUUUCUGUUUUCUAUUUCUGAAAAAUAGUUAUAGGUAUAUAUUUUUCUCAUUUCACUUCACCAACUUAGACUAUUCUGCAAGUGUUCUGAGCCAUUACAUAAAAUUCAGAUUAAUAAAACAUUUAACUUAAGGCUGUAAUGUAACAAAAUAGGUAAAAAGUCAAGGAGGGUGAAUACUUUUGCAAAGCACUGUAUAUUAAUUCCUUCCCCAGCUGUCUAUCAUUUUUAAGCACUUAUAUGACAGCAGCAUUAAGGCAAUGCUUAGGUUCCGUGACAGCUCUGUGGUUCUCCUUACUUAAAACCAAGAUACUGCAGAGGUGCUGCAGAAAGUGUCAACGCUUGGUAGCUGUGAGGCUGAUGUUCUGACUCCAACCGGUAAAACUUGCUUUGCCAGUUUGUUCAUUUGAGCUGCUAUAGAAAGACGACACAGUAAAUUCAUUAUCAAACUCCCUGGCCUGUGCUACCUCUUGUGUUAAGUUCAGGAAAAAAAAGGAACAAAGGAUCUAAUAAAUAAUUGGCUUAUCUUGAUAGUGAAAGUGUUAACAGACAUACAUAUAUUUAAUGCUUUGUGUACAGUUUAACCCUUAUAAAAGCAGAAGUGCUUGUGUGAUGGUAGUGGGUACCAUAUAGAUGAGGAUCACCCAUUAUUUAUAAUAAGCUUACCUAAAAAUAACCAGACACAAGACGUACGUGAUUUCAACAAGAUGGCCGCCGUUUUACAGCGCACUUGUUGUUCGGUUAUAUGAAUGGCGGCCAAUAAAAGAAAGAACUUACGUCUGUGGUUUCUUUGAAGUUUAAUGAGCCAGGGGGUGGUAAUUUAAUGAGCCAAGUUUAAUGAGCCAGGGGGGGAAAUUAACUGGGACAAGAAAAUACAGCGUUUGUUUUCACAUUGCUCCCCCCAGUUCGAUGGUGUGGCAUACGCGCCUAUAACCCGGACGGGUUGGCUUGGGGAUUUCCGGGAGGAUAAAUUAAGGUUCCAGUUCCAUCUGCCGGGAUAAUCAUCUGCAUUGCCAUUCUGUUUGACUGGCCUGAAUUGGAUUUUAUCAAUGGAUGUUGUUAUAAUUAGGAUUUUAAUUUUUUAAUUUUGAGUUAGAUAAUCAUCCCCCUUUUUUAGUUUUUUUCUAUUGUUUUGUAACUGUGAUAAUGUUUACACAUAAAGGUUAUGUGACUGUUUCUUAAAUGAGGUUUCCAUAGGAAUAUUAUUAUGUAUUGAACAUAUGCUGUAUUUUUGUAGUGCUAUUUCUACUUCUUUGAGAAUUUCCUCUAGUGUAAAGACAAUACAUGUGUAUUUAUUGGCUGCUUCAAGAAUAGACAUGAGUUUUAGAUAACUUAAUCUAUUGUAUAUGCUGGAGGCCGAUUGGAUCACGGCCUGAGGACUGACUAUGUAUAGAACGAUCUUCAGUGGGAGGGGACCAAGCUCAUUUGAGAAAGCCCCAAGAGGCGGGACGUGACCACGUGUUCGGCAUACACGGUGUGUUUUGAUAUAUCCACCGGCGAGAUACACCAGCUUCAGAACAAGGAGAACUGUGUACCUGCAACUUUCUGCACGGCAUCAGGCUUCAGAUGGUGUGGUGAGCUGGCAGUGGACACUGCUGUUUUUAAGCUGUUAUUUGGAGUGUUUCUGUACAAUCAAUAAAUUGUGUUAAUCUGACACCUGG